UCUAAUAUGACAGAAUUAAUGUAAUGAAUUUAAGCUUCAUCAAUAAAGAAUCAUCUUUUUUUAGAA
This 66-nucleotide transfer RNA is filed under the name Cheumatopsyche campyla. RNAcentral's name for it is "tRNA-Leu". RNAcentral also lists the same sequence under 4 other names. Lineage: Eukaryota; Metazoa; Arthropoda; Insecta; Trichoptera; Hydropsychidae. The record is from RNAcentral.